UGGGGAAUAUUGCACAAUGGGGGAAACCCUGAUGCAGCGACGCCGCGUGAACGAAGAAGGUAUUCGUAUCGUAAAGUUCUGUCCUAUGGGAAGAUAAUGACAGUACCAUAGAAGAAAGCUCCGGCUAAAUACGUGCCAGCAGCCGCGGUAAUACGUAUGGAGCGAGCGUUGUCCGGAAUUAUUGGGCGUAAAGGGUACGCAGGCGGUUUAAUAAGUCGAAUGUUAAAGAUCGGGGCUCAACCCCGCAAAGCAUUGGAAACUGAUAAACUUGAGUAGUGGAAAGGAAAGUGGAAUUCCUAGUGUAGGGGUGAAAUACGUAGAUAUUAGGAGGAAUACCAGUAGCGAAGGCGACUUUCUGGACACAAACUGACGCUGAGAUACGAAAGCGUGGGGAGCAAACAGG
RNAcentral lists this ribosomal RNA (403 nucleotides) under Chloroflexota bacterium. Its description in RNAcentral is "Chloroflexi bacterium partial 16S ribosomal RNA". It matches the Rfam family "Bacterial small subunit ribosomal RNA", at positions 355 to 776 of the family's 1533-position model. Lineage: Bacteria; Bacillati; Chloroflexota. The record is from RNAcentral.